Non-coding RNA from Podospora fimiseda, 108 nucleotides. The record is from the annotation of a GenBank genome assembly. NCBI's taxonomy places the organism in Eukaryota, Fungi, Ascomycota, Sordariomycetes, Sordariales, Podosporaceae.
GUCCUCGUAGCGCAAUGGUUAGCAUCUGAAGUUUCUUAGCGUUUGAUUUUCACCCCAGCGAAUACCUAAGGGCAGCGGAAGACGUCGGUUUGAAUCCGACCGAGGACA